ACCAAUGGAAAAACUGUUACAACGGAAUAUGAACAAGCUAGUUAAGAGUUUGUAAGGUGAUAAACGAGCAGGAAGACUUGCCUGAACUUACUUGCAGAGGCUUUACUGCCACCGACUGGAGACUAAUGGGAAGGCCUGAAAUCUGCUGCUGGCCAUUUUAAAACAGUCGUCUAAAAGAAAUAGAAGAGUUGAGAUCUCAACAGACGUCGGAGUGAAAACCACAGGAUUAAAAGUCAGCAAAUGGUUUCAUCACUUCUUUUGAAUCGGAUUAAUAUCUCCUUUCCCACGGCAACAUCGGCUCCUUUAUGCCAGCGCAAACUGCUCAUUUUACCGUUUUAAAAAUAAAAACGCACGUUUUUAUAUAGGCGAUGAGAGAUUUUCCAGUCCUCUGUGCUAAAAUGUUCUCUUUGUGAUGGGAGUACAAAGAAAGAAUUGCGUCAUCUAUAAUGCAUGGAAAGGGGGAAAAAAAAAAAGAAGAGGCGAGUACAGAGAUGGCGUG
Gambusia affinis (western mosquitofish) is the source of this 499-nucleotide long non-coding RNA. RefSeq lists it as uncharacterized. The record is from RefSeq and is a predicted model, not a curated record. Lineage: Eukaryota; Metazoa; Chordata; Actinopteri; Cyprinodontiformes; Poeciliidae. The transcript is spliced from 3 exons.